Molecule: non-coding RNA, 27 nt
Filed under: Rattus norvegicus (Norway rat)
Lineage: Eukaryota; Metazoa; Chordata; Mammalia; Rodentia; Muridae
Source: RNAcentral
UUCUGCCCGGGAGAAAUUCUGCAGCCC